GUCGAGGUUAGUCAUGUCAGUCAGCGAUGGUCAUGUCACGUUUUUGAAAGUUUCUGAAAAUAAAUCUAUAUUUUUUAUAACAUAAAUGUUUCAAAAUGUGACAUAUCAUUUUAUGUUUCAAAUCUUAGAUAAUUCUUUUGAAAAAUAAAAAAGUUAUUAGCAUUUUUAUUUUGUCCUGUCAUUGUCGAUGUUGGUCAUGUCAUUAUCAGAGUUGGUCAUGUCACGUUUUCUAAAGUUUCUUACAAUUUUUUUAAUUUUUUUUCUUAAAUCUAUGUAUAAAAUGAUGAAAUCUUAUUAUAUUUCAAAUUUCAGAAAAAUAUUUUGAGAAAUAAAAGAGAAAUUAGCAAUUUCAUCUGGUCCGGUCAUUGUCGAGAUUGGUCCUGGCAGUCAGCGAUGGUCAUGUCAUGUUUUCGAAAGUUUUUGAAAAUAAAUUUAUAUUUUUUAUAACAUUUUAGUUUCAAAAUAUGGCAUAACAUUUUAUAUUUCAAAUCUGAGAUAAUUCCUUUGAAAAAUAAAGAAGUUAUUAGCAUUUUUAUUUGGUCCUGUCAUUCUCGAUGUUGGUCCUGUCAUUAUCAGAGUUGGUCAUGUCACGUUUUCUAAAGUUUCUAACAAUUUUUUUAAUUUUUUUUCUUAAAUCUAUUUAUCAAAUGAUGAAAUCUUAUUUUAUUUCAAAUUUGAGUUCAAUCCUUUGAGAAAUGAAAAAGUUAUUAGCAUUUUUCAUUUGGUCCUG
Molecule: long non-coding RNA, 730 nt
Filed under: Mytilus galloprovincialis (Mediterranean mussel)
Lineage: Eukaryota; Metazoa; Mollusca; Bivalvia; Mytilida; Mytilidae
Source: RNAcentral